GCUCGCUUCGCCAAGCGGCCAAGGCAUCGGUCUCACGUGCCGACAUUCCCAGGUUCGAGUCCUGGAGCGAGCACCA
Molecule: transfer RNA, 76 nt
Filed under: Hyphomicrobiales bacterium
Lineage: Bacteria; Pseudomonadati; Pseudomonadota; Alphaproteobacteria; Hyphomicrobiales
Description: Rhizobiales bacterium (sediment metagenome) tRNA-Val
Rfam family: tRNA
About the family: Transfer RNA (tRNA) molecules are approximately 80 nucleotides in length. Their secondary structure includes four short double-helical elements and three loops (D, anti-codon, and T loops). Further hydrogen bonds mediate the characteristic L-shaped molecular structure. tRNAs have two regions of fundamental functional importance: the anti-codon, which is responsible for specific mRNA codon recognition, and the 3' end, to which the tRNAs corresponding amino acid is attached (by aminoacyl-tRNA synthetases). tRNAs cope with the degeneracy of the genetic code in two manners: having more than one tRNA (with a specific anti-codon) for a particular amino acid; and 'wobble' base-pairing, i.e. permitting non-standard base-pairing at the 3rd anti-codon position.
Source: RNAcentral